UACAGAGGUCUCAAGCGUUGUUCGGAUUCAUUGGGCGUAAAGGGUGCGUAGGUGGCGCGGUAAGUCGGGUGUGAAAUUUCGGAGCUUAACUCCGAAACUGCAUUCGAUACUGCCGUGCUUGAGGACUGGAGAGGAGACUGGAAUUUACGGUGUAGCAGUGAAAUGCGUAGAGAUCGUAAGGAAGACCAGUGGCGAAGGCGGGUCUCUGGACAGUUACUGACGCUGAGGCACGAAGGCCAGGGGAGCAAACGGG
Molecule: ribosomal RNA, 253 nt
Filed under: uncultured bacterium
Lineage: Bacteria
Description: partial 16S ribosomal RNA
Rfam family: Bacterial small subunit ribosomal RNA
Source: RNAcentral